Molecule: ribosomal RNA, 253 nt
Filed under: uncultured bacterium
Lineage: Bacteria
Description: partial 16S ribosomal RNA
Rfam family: Bacterial small subunit ribosomal RNA
Source: RNAcentral
UACGUAGGGUGCAGGCGUUAAUCGGAAUUACUGGGCGUAAAGCGUGCGCAGGCGGUUUCUUAAGUCAGAUGUGAAAGCCCCGGGCUUAACCUGGGAACUGCGUUUGAAACUGGGAGACUUGAGUGUGGCAGAGGGGGGUGGAAUUCCACGUGUAGCAGUGAAAUGCGUAGAUAUGCGGAGGAACACCGAUGGCGAAGGCAGCCCCCUGGGCCAAUACUGACGCUCAGGCACGAAAGCGUGGGGAGCAAACAGG